CUCACAAAAUGUAAACUUAAUAUAAAAAAGCCACAGUGGGUUUCUAUAUAAGUAGGUCAAUAGUUGAUGUUUAUAUGAAAAAAAAAAAACAUUAUUAAAACAAGUCACCUACUUACUGAUUCUUAUUAUCAAUCAUUAACUUUAUAUAAAUAGAAGUGAUAAGAUUGUGAUUUACAUUUGUGUUUACAAGAUCAUUGAUUUUUAUAUUUUGUAAUCUUUGAGACUUUAGUUGUUCUUCUACCCUUAGGCAUAAUAUUACACAAAAAAUUUAAACAUAUACAUUAAAAAAAAUGUUGAAUUUGUUUCAAAUUGAAAUUUAUGUAUUUUUUACUCAUAGUUUGCCACAAUUGAAUUUAUUUGUAUAGGUAAUAAGGGAUGUUGCAAAAUUGCAUAAGGGAAACGAAGACUGAAAAGAAUGGAGUGCAUAUAAAGAGACCUACACUCAGCAUUGCAUGGACACAGGUUGAAGAAAAAGAUGAUGGCAUGUUGUGCAAAGAAAUAGGAUAGAUGCUAUGGAUCUCACAAACAUGUGGUUCAACAAGACGGCGCCACUUGUCAUACAGCACGGAAAAUAUCGCGCUCUUCGUGAAAUUUAGCGCCAUUUAUGCGAAGAUGUCAUACAAAAUUGGUCCAACAGGAUACACCAUCUACAGCGGAGGCGCGGCGGCCAUUUGGUUCAAAUUAUAUUCCAUACAUAAUGUCAUCGAAUACUCUAUAAAAUAAAAUAAAAAUUGUGGCAAUAUCACUUAAA
Molecule: long non-coding RNA, 751 nt
Organism: Bombyx mori (domestic silkworm)
Lineage: Eukaryota; Metazoa; Arthropoda; Insecta; Lepidoptera; Bombycidae
Exons: 2
Source: RefSeq, a predicted model, not a curated record